UGUCAAGGGAUGGGAAUCGAACCCACAGUGUUCCGCUUACCGGGCAGAUGCCAUGUCCACUAGGCUACCUUGGA
This is a non-coding RNA of Cordylochernes scorpioides, 74 nucleotides long. Lineage: Eukaryota; Metazoa; Arthropoda; Arachnida; Pseudoscorpiones; Chernetidae. The record is from the annotation of a GenBank genome assembly.